GGGAAGAGACCUUGGGCCGGAUGUCAAGUUCCUCCUGUAGAUAGAAAUCCACCACAGGAAAUGUCCGUGAAAAAAUUAACAGGUGGAACAGUGAUUCAUCAUUCAGAAUCUGAGAGCAGACGUCCUCUUGCCACAAUGGGUUGUGGUGGAUCCCUGGUACACUGGAUAUAAGGUUGGAGAAUCUCAAACUGAAUGGGAGGAGAACAGAAUACACCAUGGUAUUUCUCUGUGCUGAUCAGUGUCUCGUUAUCAUUAUAUUGUGUCACAUUUGCAUCUUUACACUAAAACAAAGCAAAAAUGUUAACGUGUGCAGUAUGUAGCUUUUUUGUUCUUUUUUUUUCAGUUGUUUAAUGAGUGAAAAUGCCUCAGAGUGGUAAAGUAUCUAACUGUCAGAACAGCAACUAAAACCUAACAAGCACCAUUGUGUGCUUACUGUAUUUUCUCAUAAAAUGCAAAAGUCUGAUUUUAACAUCUCAUAAAAUGGGCACCUUAUAUUUAUUUCAUGAGUAUUUCAUACUCUAAGUUGUUACAUUAUUAACAUCAACAUUCAAGCUAACAAAAAUGCAGAUGUAAAUAAAUUAAUAAAAUGCCCUAUAAAAAUAAAACACAAAAAUAAAAAUCAGAAUUCUAACUACAGACCAUUAUUGCUUGCUUUAAAAAGAUUUUCUAUUACCCACAUUUUUUUUUUAUAUUUCAUUGAACCUGUUUACAUAUUUUACUCACUGAUAUAUAUUUGUAAUAUGAGUGUAUGUGUUUUUGGAUGAGGUCUCUUAGUGAGGAUCUAACCAUUGUACACUUACAACAAAUGAUCUUGAUCUUACUUCAAAGCUCAGAUUACAUGUCAGAGACUGAUUACUAAGGAUUAAUUAAAUUUAAUUGAAUUUAAUCUGGGGGGCACUGUGGCUUAGUGGUUAGCAUGUUUGCCUCACACCUCCAGGGUUGGGGGUUCAAUUCCCACCUCCGCCU
This is a long non-coding RNA of Tachysurus fulvidraco (yellow catfish), 966 nucleotides long. RefSeq lists it as uncharacterized. The record is from RefSeq and is a predicted model, not a curated record. NCBI's taxonomy places the organism in Eukaryota, Metazoa, Chordata, Actinopteri, Siluriformes, Bagridae. The transcript is spliced from 3 exons.